Molecule: long non-coding RNA, 1627 nt
Filed under: Marmota monax (woodchuck)
Lineage: Eukaryota; Metazoa; Chordata; Mammalia; Rodentia; Sciuridae
Source: RNAcentral
CUCAGUGGUAGAGUGCUUACCUAACAUGCUCGAAUCUCUGGGUCCAUGCCUAGCACUGAAAUACACAAAUAAAUUAAAUGAAUACUCCCCAGGUUCCUCAGAGCCUGAAAAGGUGCACAGAGAUGCUGUGCCUUCAUUCAUGUGCUUGUUCGCUCAGUGAAUUUUGCUGAGCAUCUAGUAUGUACAAGGUCUGUGUUACAAACGGGGACAUAAUGGACAACACACAUACAGUCCCCCUUUCAUAGUGUGCGACCCAGUAUGACACUAGAUAUCAAACAUGACAGUGGAAUUAGUAAAUGAUCGCAGUAGCGAUUCAACAGAGAUGGGGUGGGUGGUAAGUGGCCUUCACUUGGACAUGGGCUCAGGGGAGGCAGCUGUAAGAGGGUGAGCAGGCCUGAGUGCUGCCUGGAAGGGCCAGGCAGGGAGGGACACACACUCCCUGCUGCUUUGCUUCUUCCUGUUGCCUCUCCCCAGGCGAGACAAACAGCACUGCUUCUGGGGCUGCACAGUCCCUGGUGCUGUGUCCACAGUGGGCUUCGGCCUCCUUGGGCCACAGCUGGUGGGAUGCUACCGUCAUAUGAUGGUGGCCCUUUAGCAGAAAGUUUUGAGCUCUUUCUCUUGGGUGUCAACAAGAAGAUCAGGGCAGGGAUAAGGUGAAUGGAACCUCCAGAGGUUGGGGGUGCAGGCAUGAGCAGUGCUGUCCAUCCCCCACAUUCCUUCAUCCCCCCUUUUGUGGCCAGGGAGGCUGCAGGUCAGUGCUAGAAUGGCAGCAGCAUUACAGCUAGACUUCCCUGUGCUCUGACCCCCCAGGGAAACCCCAGUCACACCAAGUCCAACUGUACAGAGCAGCACCUCAAGAAUUUGUGGGGGAAAUAAACUGAGAAGAACUAUGACGAGGUGAAAAGGCCACCCUUGUCUUCUUCAAGAGCGAUUUCUGACCACGCAGGCCACCCCUGCUCACACCCACCAUGCUGGGCUCAGGCCCAUGUGGUCACAGCAAAAGGAGUCGUGAUCGCCCCUGACCAGGUUCCUAACUGGUUGAAGACCUGAGUUUCAAUGUAGAUAGUGGAAUAAGCACUUAAAUAUAUAUACAUUGGAGUAUUUUAUGGACUGUUUGUGUCCCUAAAAGAUUCAUUUUUGAAGCCCUGUUAUGAUUUAGGUAUGAGGUAUCCCCCCAAAAAAAAUCAUGUGAGACAAUGUAAAAAUUUUCAGAAGUGAACAGAUUAUGAUAUAUAAUCCAAUUAUCGGAUCAAUCCCCUGAUAUGGAUCAACUGGGCAGUAACUGUGGGCAGGUAGGGUGUGGCUGGAGGAGACAGGUCACCAUGGGUGUGCCUUUGGGGUUUAUAUUUUGUUCCUAGAGAAUAGAACUCUCUCUGCUUCCUGGUUGCCAUGUCCGGAGCUGCCUUCCCUCCACCAGGACCUUCCACCACGACCUUCCUCCUUACCUGUGGCCCACAGCAACGAAGUCAGCUGUCCAUGGACUGAACCUCUGAACCCAUGAGCCAAAAUGAACUUUUCCUCCUCUAAGUUGUUCUUGUCAGGUUUUCGGGUCACAGUGAUGUAAAAGCUGACUAAAACAAGACCUAAUUGAUGUCAUUUGGAGAUGGGGCUUUUAGGAAGUAAUUAA